GACGAACGCUGGCGGCGCGCCUAACACAUGCAAGUCGAACGAGCAAAAGAGGAGCUUGCUUCUCUGAGCGAGUGGCGAACGGGUGAGUAACGCGUGAGGAACCUGCCUCAAAGAGGGGGACAAACAGUUGGAAACGACUGCUAAUACCGCAUAAGCCCACGGGUCGGCAUCGACCAGAGGGAAAAGGAGCAAUCCGCUUUGAGAUGGCCUCGCGUCCGAUUAGCUAGUUGGUGAGGUAACGGCCCACCAAGGCGACCGAUCGGUAGCCGGACUGAGAGGUUGAACGGCCACAUUGGGACUGAGUACACGGCCCAGACUCCUACGGGAGGCAGCACGUGGGGAAUACUUGCACAAUGGGGGAAACCCUGAUGCAGCGACGCCGCGUGA
This 387-nucleotide ribosomal RNA is filed under the name uncultured bacterium. RNAcentral's name for it is "bacterial SSU rRNA". It matches the Rfam family "Bacterial small subunit ribosomal RNA", at positions 28 to 404 of the family's 1533-position model. The record is from RNAcentral.